GGUUAAGCGACUAAGCGUACACGGUGGAUGCCCUGGCAGUCAGAGGCGAUGAAGGACGUGCUAAUCUGCGAAAAGCGUCGGUAAGGUGAUAUGAACCGUUAUAACCGGCGAUGUCCGAAUGGGGAAACCCAGUGCAAUUCGUUGCACUAUCGUUAACUGAAUACAUAGGUUAACGAGGCGAACCGGGGGAACUGAAACAUCUAAGUACCCCGAGGAAAAGAAAUCAACCGAGAUUCCCCCAGUAGCGGCGAGCGAACGGGGAGCAGCCCAGAGUCUGAAUCAGCUUGUGUGUUAGUGGAACGGUCUGGAAAGUCCGACGGUACAGGGUGAUAGUCCCGUACACCAAAAUGCACAGGUUGUGAACUCGAAGAGUAGGGCGGGACACGUGGUAUCCUGUCUGAAUAUGGGGGACCAUCCUCCAAGGCUAAAUACUCCUGACUGACCGAUAGUGAACCAGUACCGUGAGGGAAAGGCGAAAAGAACCCCGGCGAGGGGAGUGAAAAAGAACCUGAAACCGUGUACGUACAAGCAGUGGGAGCACCUUCGGGUGUGACUGCGUACCUUUUGUAUAAUGGGUCAGCGACUUAUAUUCUGUAGCAAGGUUAACCGUAUAGGGGAGCCGCAGGGAAACCGAGUCUUAACUGGGCGUUAAGUUGCAGGGUAUAGACCCGAAACCCGGUGAUCUAGCCAUGGGCAGGUUGAAGGUUGGGUAACACUAACUGGAGGACCGAACCGACUAAUGUUGAAAAAUUAGCGGAUGACUUGUGGCUGGGGGUGAAAGGCCAAUCAAACCGGGAGAUAGCUGGUUCUCCCCGAAAGCUAUUUAGGUAGCGCCUCGUGAACUCAUCUUCGGGGGUAGAGCACUGUUUCGGCUAGGGGGUCAUCCCGACUUACCAACCCGAUGCAAACUACGAAUACCGAAGAAUGUUAUCACGGGAGACACACGGCGGGUGCUAACGUCCGUCGUGAAGAGGGAAACAACCCAGACCGCCAGCUAAGGUCCCAAAGUCAUGGUUAAGUGGGAAACGAUGUGGGAAGGCACAGACAGCCAGGAUGUUGGCUUAGAAGCAGCCAUCAUUUAAAGAAAGCGUAAUAGCUCACUGGUCGAGUCGGCCUGCGCGGAAGAUGUAACGGGGCUAAACCAUGCACCGAAGCUGCGGCAGCGACACUAUGUGUUGUUGGGUAGGGGAGCGUUCUGUAAGCCUGCGAAGGUGACCUGUGAGGGUUGCUGGAGGUAUCAGAAGUGCGAAUGCUGACAUAAGUAACGAUAAAGCGGGUGAAAAGCCCGCUCGCCGGAAGACCAAGGGUUCCUGUCCAACGUUAAUCGGGGCAGGGUGAGUCGACCCCUAAGGCGAGGCCGAAAGGCGUAGUCGAUGGGAAACAGGUUAAUAUUCCUGUACUUAGUGUUACUGCGAAGGGGGGACGGAGAAGGCUAUGUUAGCCGGGCGACGGUUGUCCCGGUUUAAGCAUGUAGGCUGGUUGUCCAGGCAAAUCCGGAUAAUCAAGGCUGAGGUGUGAUGACGAGGCACUACGGUGCUGAAGUAACAAAUGCCCUGCUUCCAGGAAAAGCCUCUAAGCAUCAGGUAACAUCAAAUCGUACCCCAAACCGACACAGGUGGUCAGGUAGAGAAUACCAAGGCGCUUGAGAGAACUCGGGUGAAGGAACUAGGCAAAAUGGUGCCGUAACUUCGGGAGAAGGCACGCUGGUGUGUAGGUGAAGUCCCUGCGGAUGGAGCUGAGACCAGUCGAAGAUACCAGCUGGCUGCAACUGUUUAUUAAAAACACAGCACUGUGCAAACACGAAAGUGGACGUAUACGGUGUGACGCCUGCCCGGUGCCGGAAGGUUAAUUGAUGGGGUUAUCCGUAAGGAGAAGCUCUUGAUCGAAGCCCCGGUAAACGGCGGCCGUAACUAUAACGGUCCUAAGGUAGCGAAAUUCCUUGUCGGGUAAGUUCCGACCUGCACGAAUGGCGUAAUGAUGGCCAGGCUGUCUCCACCCGAGACUCAGUGAAAUUGAACUCGCUGUGAAGAUGCAGUGUACCCGCGGCAAGACGGAAAGACCCCGUGAACCUUUACUAUAGCUUGACACUGAACAUUGAGCCUUGAUGUGUAGGAUAGGUGGGAGGCUUUGAAGCGUGGACGCCAGUCUGCGUGGAGCCAACCUUGAAAUACCACCCUUUAAUGUUUGAUGUUCUAACGUUGGCCCCUGACCGGGGUUGCGGACAGUGUCUGGUGGGUAGUUUGACUGGGGCGGUCUCCUCCCAAAGCGUAACGGAGGAGCACGAAGGUUAGCUAAUCCUGGUCGGACAUCAGGAGGUUAGUGCAAUGGCAUAAGCUAGCUUGACUGCGAGCGUGACGGCGCGAGCAGGUGCGAAAGCAGGUCAUAGUGAUCCGGUGGUUCUGAAUGGAAGGGCCAUCGCUCAACGGAUAAAAGGUACUCCGGGGAUAACAGGCUGAUACCGCCCAAGAGUUCAUAUCGACGGCGGUGUUUGGCACCUCGAUGUCGGCUCAUCACAUCCUGGGGCUGAAGUAGGUCCCAAGGGUAUGGCUGUUCGCCAUUUAAAGUGGUACGCGAGCUGGGUUUAGAACGUCGUGAGACAGUUCGGUCCCUAUCUGCCGUGGGCGCUGGAGAAUUGAGGGGGCUGCUCCUAGUACGAGAGGACCGGAGUGGACGCAUCACUGGUGUUCGGGUUGUCAUGCCAAUGGCACUGCCCGGUAGCUAAAUGCGGAAGAGAUAAGUGCUGAAAGCAUCUAAGCACGAAACUUGCCCCGAGAUGAGUUCUCCCUGAGACUUUAAGUCUCCUGAAGGAACGUUAAAGACGAUGACGUUGAUAGGCCGGGUGUGUAAGCGCAGCGAUGCGUUGAGCUAACCGGUACUAAUGAACCGUGAGGCUUAACCUU
RNAcentral lists this ribosomal RNA (2900 nucleotides) under Klebsiella pneumoniae. Its description in RNAcentral is "23S ribosomal RNA". It matches the Rfam family "Bacterial large subunit ribosomal RNA". Lineage: Bacteria; Pseudomonadati; Pseudomonadota; Gammaproteobacteria; Enterobacterales; Enterobacteriaceae. The record is from RNAcentral.